Molecule: long non-coding RNA, 6276 nt
Organism: Salvelinus fontinalis (brook trout)
Lineage: Eukaryota; Metazoa; Chordata; Actinopteri; Salmoniformes; Salmonidae
Exons: 2
Source: RefSeq, a predicted model, not a curated record
GUCACACACUUGGCAGCCGAGGAGAGAGAGGAAGGACAGCUGUGAAAACUACAUCUGGAAAAUGAGUCGGAAGCACUGUAGCAUUUGGAUGCAUUUUAAUAAUGUAGACACAGUGCCCAGUGUAGAAUUUGCCAAAACAAAAUCUCAUAUAAAGCCGGUUCUACGCACAACCUACACCGGCAUCUGCAAACUGUGCACCCAACUGUGAAGCUAGCUGUAGCGGAGCUUCGAGAAACUAGCGGGCCUGCUAGUGAUAGCGGUGGAGCCAGCUCCUCCACAUUUUAUUUAUUUAUUUACCGUUAUUUUACCAGACACUCCCAUCCUGAGCUAUCGCAGGAGCAACCAGGGUCAAACGCCCCGCCCAAGGCCACAUCAACAAAUCUCCCACCAAGUCAAAUCGGGGACCCAAACCACAGAACAAGCUCCCAACUGCCAGGCCACCAACCAUCCAAGAUCCCCCCCACAGUUCCCUGGAGCUGCCCCUCAACCAUCCGAGACUCCCCCUACACUGAACAAAAAUAUAAACACAACAUUCAACAAUUUCAAAGAUUUUACAGAGUUACAGUUCAUAUAAGGAAAUCCAAUGGAAAUAAAUUCAUUAAGCCCUAAUCCAGUUGCGUAAAGUACUUAGGUAAAAACAACUUUAAAGUACUACAUAAGUAGUUUUUUGGGGUAUCUGUACUUUUCUUUACUAUUUAUAUUUUUGCCUUUUACUUCACUACAUAUCGAAGGAAAAUAAUGUACUUUUUACUCCACACAUUUUCCUUGACACCCAAAAUUACAUUUUCACAGGAAAAUGGUCCAAUUCACACACUUAUCAAGAGAACAUCCCUGGUCAUCCCUACUGCCUCUGAUCUGGCAGACAAAUUAUGCCUCAGUGUUGGAGUGUGCCCUUGGCUAUCCGUAAAUUUAAAAAAAUUAAACAAGAAAAUUGUGCUUUCUGGUUUACAUAAUAUAAGGAAUUUGACGUUAUUAAUACUUUUACUUUUGAUACUUAAGUAUAUUAAAACCAAAUACUUUUACUUUUACUCCGGUAGUAUUUUACUGGGUGACUUUCACUUUAACUUGAGUCGUUUUCUGUUAAGGUAUCUUUACCUUUACUCAAGUAUGACAAUUGAGUACUUUUUCUGCCACUGCCCUAAUCUAUGGAUUUCACAUGACUGGGAAUACAGACAUGCAACUGUUGGUCAGUAUCUGGUGUGACCACCAUUUGCCUCAUGCAACAUCUCCUUCGCAUAGAGUUGAUCAGGCUGUUGAUUGUGGAAUGUUGUCCCACUCCUUUUCAAUGGCUGUACAAAGUUGCUGGAUAUUGGCGGGAACUGGAACACGCUGUCAAACACGUCGAUCCCAAACAUGACAUCUGGUGAAUAUGCAGGCCAUGAAAGAACUGGGACAUUUUCAGCUUCCAGGAAUUGUGUACAGACCAUUGCGAAAUGGGACUGAAUUAUCAUGCUGAAACAUGAGGUGAUGGCAGCGGAUGAAUGGCACGACAGUAGGCGUCAGGUUCUCAUCAUAGCAUCUGUGCAUUCAAAUUACCACCGAUAUAAUGCAAUUGUGGUCAUUGUCUGUGGCGUGUGCCUGCCCAUACCAUAACCACACCGCCAUCAUGGUUCACAAUGUUGAAAUCAGCAAACCACUCGUCGACACGGGGUCUGCGGUUGUGAGGCCGAUUGGACGUACUGCCAAAUUCACUAAAAUUACGUUGGAGGCGGGUUAAGGUAGAGAAAUUAACAUUUAAUUCUCUGGCAACAGCUCUGGCGGAGAUUCCUGCAGUCAGCAUGCCAAUUGCACGCUCUCUCAACUUGAGAUAUCUGUGGCAUUGUGUUGUGUGACAACUGCCCAUUUUAGAGCGGCCUUUUAUUGUCCACAGCACAAGGUGCACCUGUGUAAUGAUCAUGCUGUUUAAUCAGCUUCUUGAUGGGCCACACCUAUCAGGUGGAUGGAUUAUCUUGGAAAAGCAGAAAUCCUCACUAACAGGGAUGUAAACAAAUUUGUGCCUCAAAUUUGAGAGAGAAAAGCUUUUUGUGCGUAUGGAACAUUUCUGUGAUCUUUUAUUUCAGUUCAUGAAACAUGGGACCAACACUUUGCAUGUUGCGUUUUAUAUUUUUGUUCAGUGUAAAUGCCUCAUGUAGUAUUAGAUCGGUAAUAUUGUUUAAAGAUGCACUAUGCAGAAAUCACUCCGCCAUUUCCUGGUUGCUAAAGUUCAAAUAUUUCGCAUCAUUUCAGUUUAUGUGACAAAACCAGUAAAUAUAGUGUAGAGAAUCAUUGUACCAUCUAAACCGCCAUAAAAUAUAUUUUCCAUAACCAAAAAUAUUGUAUUUUCAGCUCUUUGAAGCUAGUGUACAAAACCAAAAGUAAAAGACGCAAAAACAAAACUUAAGAACGGGACGCAUAGAAAUGGAGCACAUAUAGUAGAACAGAUUUACGGCUUCUUAGACUUGCUUUCAUUGAGAAUGGCAGAUCUAUAACAUCUAUAAUAUGUGAAUUUGGUUGGUUCACCCAAAAAGUUACAUAGCGCAGAUUUAAGUGAAGUCCCCACCAUGCUUCAGAUUUUUUUUAAAUGCAAUCUGCUCUUAUCAUCACUCUGCAUUAGUGUACACUUUUGUUAACCAUGACUAACCUCUACUGCCUAGGAAGGCACAAACACUACAUGACCAAAAGUAUGUGAUACCUGCUCGUCGAACAUCUCAUUCCAAAAUCAUGGGCAUUAAUAUGUUGGUCCCCUAUUUGCUGCCAAAUCAGUCUACACUCUUUUGGGAAGGCUUUCCACUAGAUGUUGGAACAUUGCUGCGGGGCCUUGCUUCCAUUCAGCCACAAGCAUUAUUGAGGUCGGGCACUGAUGUUGGACGAUUAGGCCAGGCUCGCAGUCUGCAUUCCAAUUCAUCUCAAAGGUGUUUGAUGGGGUUGAGGUCAGGUCUCUGUGCAGUUCAGUCAAGUUCUUCCACACCAAACUGUUGCCACAAAGUUGGAACCACAGAAUUGUGUAGAAUGUCAUUGUUAAGAUUUUCCUUCACUGGAACUAAUGGGCUUAGCCCAAACCAUAAAAAAACAGCCACCAAACUUUACAGUUCACACUAUGCAUUGAGCCAGGUAGUGUUCUCCUGGCAUCCGCAUUGGCAUUUUUAUCCGUCGGACUACCAGAUUGUGAAGCGUGAUUCAUUACUCCAGUGAACGCUUUUCCAAAGUCCAAUGGUGGCAAGCUUUACACCACUCCAGCCAAAGCUUGGCAUUGUGCAUAGUGAUCUUAGGCUUGUGUGCGGCUGGUCGCCAUGGAAACCCAUUUCAUGAAGCUCCCUACGAACAGUUAUUGUGCUGAAGUUGCUUCCAGAGGCAGUUUUGAACUUGGUAGUGAGUGUUGCAACCGAGAACAGACUAUUUUUACGCGCUAUGCACUCCAGCACUCGGUGGCAUCUUAUGACGGUGCCACGUUGAAAGUCUAUGCAUAGUCACAUUAAUUACUCAACCUACAUGUAUAUAUUACCUUAAUACCGGUGCCCCCGCACAUUGACUCUGUAUCGGUACCCAUUGUAUAUAGUCUAGCUAUUGUUAUUUACUACUGCUCUUUAAUUAUUUGUUAUUCUUAUCUCUAACUUUUUGAGGGUAUUUUCUUAACUGCAUUGUUGGUUAAGGGCUUGUAAGUAAGCAUUUCACUGUAAGGUCUACACCUGUUGUAUUUGGCUGAUGUGAUAAAUCAAAUUUGAUUUGAGCUCUUCAGUAAGGCCAGGAGAAUGAAUGGCUGUGUGUUCGAUUGUAUAGCCCUGUCAGCAAUGGAUGUGGCUGAUCCACUAAUUUGAAGGGGUGUCCACAUACGUUUGUAUAUAUAGUGUAGAAGGGCAUAGUACAGAACAUAAGAUAAGAUAAGAUCUUAAUAAGAUCAACCUCAAGAAACAACUUUUUAAGUUGAAAUUAAAAUGCAUGCUGUCACAAAUGCUUAGCACUCUACUGCAUUGCAUCCAGUUGGUCCAUGGGAGAUCCCAGAAGACUGUUCUCUGGGGGGGCUGGAGUUCUAGCAGACGGGCCACUAUGGACCCAUCUGCAGAAGCACACUCUGGAGAGGACAUAUCUACUGCUGUGGUGGUCAAGACACUCAGGGGAAUGCGCUUGUACUGUACAGCGCUAUCAGAGGCUGUGUGUGCGUGGAAAAUAGUUGCAUCUAUUUGGAGAGUUUGCCCCAAGAAAGUUUGAGGUAUGGAAUAGCUUUGUGAGUACCUCGCAGGUAAAAACAAUCCAUUUUGGAAUUGUCCUCUUAGAGGGAAUUUCUCAUCCCACUGCAUUAAAUAGAAAAACAAGUUAAGUGGAUAUCCAAUCUCUUACGUGCAGUAUACUGUGUCUCCUUUCAAGUAGCUUAAAUCAGCCUGAGGCAAAAGAGUUUGUGGACGGGAUCCUUUUCCAUGGGACAGUGUGUAAACACCUCCACCUGGCCCAGAUGCUGUGGUGCCAGUACCAGCCACUACCCAUGUACCUGGUUCUGUAGUCCUGGCAACCUCCCGCAUUACCUAUGGACCUUGAGGAAUUGCCGGGACUUCAAGUUCAACUUAGCUGUAACAAAUACAUUGGAUAUCGUACUCAGCAGUGCUCUUACUAAUCAACUAUGUUGAAUAUUUCUAUUCCCAAUAUUAUGUAAAUUCAUUAUUACAUUUUUCAGAUAUAUUUCAUUAAAAGGUUCACAGAGAAAUAAUUGGUCAAUUUAAUUUCAGACAUUUGAUUCCGGUCAUCCACUGACUUAAAUAAGAUUAAAUACAUUUCCAUGCUCUCCAGAGGGAUUCGGAGUCCUUGGAUCCACUCCAGCACUUUUCAGAGAGAUCAGUGUUUUCGGUGGCAAAGAAGAUGGCAGCAGGCCAAAAUGACAACUGAUGUCCCUCUCAAAUGGCAGGUUCCAGAGAGGAUGAUGAAGCAUCCAAUCAGACAGAAGUGAUGUGUGAGCAUUGGGACUUAAUCUGUAUUUGGGAAUCUGCCCCCGUAGCCUAGAAUAUACAUAGAUGCUUGUUUUAUUAAUGUUCUGGCAAAAUAUUUCUACAUGCCUUUGUUGCUUUUUGUAAUAUCAACAUGCUUGAUAGCUGUUUUUCUCUCACCCUCAGAUGGUCUUUUGGAAUCUAUGUCUAUAUGAAUUGAUCACAUUGGGUAACUGUUACUUUGCACAUAUCUGAUUUAAGUCAUUUUGCAAAUGUACUUCACCAAUAAGUUAACAAAAUUUAGGGUGACCAGUUUUAGAGGAGAACCCCUGUAAACAUGUCCAUCCCUGGCCAAAAACAGUGUAUAACAAUAAACAGUGUAUAAUAUUCUCAUUAAACGAAAAUAAUGUAUAUUCAAUCACUCCACAGCCGAGUAAAGCCUGUUAUUAGCUGUGUAACGCCUCCAUGUUGUGGCCACCUAUUUAAUAUCAUUGGGCUCUCUCAUUCUGUGCUAUUCAGAUCUCUCAGGUAUGACCUGAUGAAGUUCUGCUGGAUGUGGAGCUUCAAAGACCGGCCUGUGUUCUCAGCCAUAAAGCUUCUGGAGUCCUACACAUACCUGGCUGACACUAGACAUCUACAUCCCAGAGGGCAUAGACAUCUUUGACUACACCAAGAGGGCAGGUGUGCUCCUCUAAAUAUCUAGCCUAAAGCAUCACAUUCAUGAAGAGGCUAAAAGCAAGCAGGGGCAGACUGGCCAUCUGGCAAAUGCCAGAUGGCUGGUCCAUUUUUAGCUCAGUGAGCCUGUUAACUUUUUUUUGUUCAAAAUUAUCAUUAUCUAGCAAUUAGCUAGAAAUUGGCCAGCGAGGGGGGCCUCGAAAAUAAAUGGCCUGGUGUGUUAAACGCCAGGGCCUAAUUUCUGGUCCCAGUCUGCCCCUGAAAGCAAGGAUUUGGUCCUUUACAAAGCAUGGCUGUAGUUGAUUCUAGGUUCAUGUGUACUGUACUGUGGUAUCAACAUCCAGAGAGAUUUUAUUAAACAGAUGAAAUGUUCUAAAUUAUUUAACAUAAGGGUGUGUAAGUAUUGUAUGGCGAAUGCAACCUAUAUAUAGCCUGAUUGUAAGAUUGCACAAAUGUUGUAGAACCACACUGGGGAUUUUUGGAUGAGUGAGACUUUCAGCACAAAAUGGAUGUCAGGAAGAAAAAUCUUCUACUAAUGUUAUUGUCACGUCACAAUCCCCCCUCACAUGUUUGGUCCAUCAGUAGGGAAUUAUUUUUGAAAUUGUACAGAUAUAAUAAGCGUUCUUGAUGUCAUGAAACCAGGCAAGUCAUUAUAAAUCACCACUUUUUAUUGUCAAAGGUACAGAAUAAAAAAUACAGAUCUUCAUAA